RNAcentral lists this unclassified non-coding RNA (391 nucleotides) under soil metagenome. RNAcentral's name for it is "partial contains 5.8S ribosomal RNA, internal transcribed spacer 2, and large subunit ribosomal RNA". The stretch from base 1 to 122 matches the Rfam family "5.8S ribosomal RNA", at positions 35 to 154 of the family's 154-position model. The record is from RNAcentral.
GAUGAAGAACGCAGCGAAAUGCGAUACUUGGUGUGAAUUGCAGAAUCCCGUGAACCAUCGAGUCUUUGAACGCAAGUUGCGCCCGAAGCCAUUAGGCCGAGGGCACGCCUGCCUGGGCGUCACACGUCGUUGCCCCCCCAUCUACUCCUUCGGGAUUGCGGGGGGCGGAUGAUGGCCUCCCGUGCGCCUCGCCGCGCGGUUGGCAUAAAUGCCAAGUCCUCGGCGACGCACGCCACGACAAUCGGUGGUUGCGAAACCUCGGUUGCCCGUCGUGUGCGGUCGUCGCGCAUCGAGGGCUCGAAAAAAUUGCCGGGUUCCGGCUCGGCUUUCAACGCGACCCCAGGUCAGGCGGGGUUACCCGCUGAAUUUAAGCACAUCAAUAAGCGGAGGA